Molecule: ribosomal RNA, 435 nt
Filed under: uncultured bacterium
Lineage: Bacteria
Description: partial 16S ribosomal RNA
Rfam family: Bacterial small subunit ribosomal RNA
Source: RNAcentral
AACGAACGCUGGCGGCAGGCUUAACACAUGCAAGUCGAACGCGUGCAGCAAUGCACGAGUGGCGCACGGGUGAGUAACGCGUGGAUAUCUGCCUUUUGGUUCGGAAUAACCCCGGGAAACUGGGGCUAAUACCGGAUGGUUCCUACGGGAUAAAGAUUUAUCGCCAAAAGAUGAGUCCGCGUCCGAUUAGCUAGUUGGUGAGGUAAUGGCUCACCAAGGCGACGAUCGGUAGCUGGUCUGAGAGGACGAUCAGCCACACUGGGACUGAGACACGGCCCAGACUCCUACGGGAGGCAGCAGUGGGGAAUAUUGGACAAUGGGGGCGACCCUGAUCCAGCCAUGCCGCGUGAGUGAUGAAGGCCUUCGGGUUGUAAAGCUCUUUUGGCGGGGACGAUGAUGACGGUACCCGCAGAAUAAGCCCCGGCUAACUUCGUG